AUUGAACGCUGGCGGCAUGCCUUACACAUGCAAGUCGAACGGUAACAGCACUUCGGUGGCUGACGAGUGGCGAACGGGUGAGUAAUACAUCGGAACGUGCCCGAGAGUGGGGGAUAACGCAGCGAAAGCUGUGCUAAUACCGCAUACGAUCUACGGAUGAAAGCAGGGGAUUCGCAAGGACCUUGCGCUCAUGGAGCGGCCGAUGGCAGAUUAGGUAGUUGGUGGGAUAAAAGCUUACCAAGCCGACGAUCUGUAGCUGGUCUGAGAGGACGACCAGCCACACUGGGACUGAGACACGGCCCAGACUCCUACGGGAGGCAGCAGUGGGGAAUUUUGGACAAUGGGCGAAAGCCUGAUCCAGCCAUGCCGCGUGCAGGAUGAAGGCCUUCGGGUUGUAAACUGCUUUUGUACGGAACGAAAAGAUCUCUUCUAAUAAAGGGGGUCCAUGACGGUACCGUAAGAAUAAGCACCGGCUAACUACGUG
Molecule: ribosomal RNA, 484 nt
Filed under: uncultured bacterium
Lineage: Bacteria
Description: bacterial SSU rRNA
Rfam family: Bacterial small subunit ribosomal RNA
Source: RNAcentral